UGAAAAUAUAAUAAAACUUUAUAGCUUUUAAGCUCAUGCAUAAAGUAUUUAUUCAAGCAACCAAACAUCAUCUCGCAUGGGUCAGGCUAAGCUCAUACAAGCAACCAAACGUAGAGAUAUUACAUGCUCUCAACCAGGUUAAGAGUCAGGUUCUUUAGAUACUAGCCAGGCCCACCUAUCCAGACAACCAAACAUGCCAGUAGUGCAUGUGUUAAACCAGGGCUGCGUGAUCAUUGUGUGUGGAUUGAUUGGAAGCUGGUGGGACUGGGCUGUUCGUUACUAUAUAUUCGGUUUGGCAGAUCCGUUCACGCAAGCAUGUCUCUCCGUGUGCCUGCAAAACGAUGGGCCUGCGCAUGUCGUCUGCACCGGCAGAUGUUUCGAUGUGGAGAGAGAGAGAGUGAGAGAGAGAGCUGUGCUGCACGCCUGCACUGCACUGCACUGCAGCCAAAGUUCAUUCGUUGUUGCUGAUGCUGCCGCGCGCGGGCGUCCGAUCCUUUCCUCCCUCUCGUCUCUAUGUCUGAGCGAGUGCUGCUGGAUAGAGGAGGAUAGGGGAG
Molecule: unclassified non-coding RNA, 554 nt
Filed under: Zea mays
Lineage: Eukaryota; Viridiplantae; Streptophyta; Magnoliopsida; Poales; Poaceae
Description: misc RNA Zm00001eb198920
Source: RNAcentral